This 393-nucleotide ribosomal RNA is filed under the name uncultured bacterium. RNAcentral's name for it is "partial 16S ribosomal RNA". It matches the Rfam family "Bacterial small subunit ribosomal RNA", at positions 523 to 918 of the family's 1533-position model. The record is from RNAcentral.
AUACGGAGGAUGCGAGCGUUAUCCGGAUUUAUUGGGUUUAAAGGGAGCGUAGGUGGGAUAUUAAGUCAGCUGUGAAAGUUCGGGGCUCAACCUUAAAAUUGCAGUUGAUACUGGUUUCCUUGAGUACGGUACAGGUGGGCGGAAUUCGUGGUGUAGCGGUGAAAUGCUUAGAUAUCACGAAGAACUCCGAUCGCGAAGGCAGCUCACCGGGCCGGAACUGACACUGAUGCUCGAAAGUGCGGGUAUCAAACAGGAUUAGAUACCCUGGUAGUCCGCACAGUAAACGAUGAAUACUCGCUGUUUGCGAUACACUGUAAGCGGCCAAGCGAAAGCGUUAAGUAUUCCACCUGGGGAGUACGCCGGCAACGGUGAAACUCAAAGGAAUUGACGGGG